Molecule: non-coding RNA, 29 nt
Filed under: Rattus norvegicus (Norway rat)
Lineage: Eukaryota; Metazoa; Chordata; Mammalia; Rodentia; Muridae
Source: RNAcentral
UGUGAAGAAGUCAUUCUAGCUCUAGCUCC